Molecule: ribosomal RNA, 421 nt
Filed under: uncultured bacterium
Lineage: Bacteria
Description: partial 16S ribosomal RNA
Rfam family: Bacterial small subunit ribosomal RNA
Source: RNAcentral
UGGGGAAUAUUGCACAAUGGGCGCAAGCCUGAUGCAGCCAUGCCGCGUGUGUGAAGAAGGCCUUCGGGUUGUAAAGCACUUUUGUCCGGAAGAAUCCUUGGCUCUAAUACAGUCGGGGAUGACGGUACCGGAAGAAUAAGCACCGGCUAACUACGUGCCAGCAGCCGCGGUAAUACGUAGGGUGCAAGCGUUAAUCGGAAUUACUGGGCGUAAAGCGUGCGCAGGCGGUUUGCUAAGACCGAUGUGAAAUCCCCGGGCUCAACCUGGGAACUGCAUUGGUGACUGGCAGGCUAGAGUAUGGCAGAGGGGGGUAGAAUUCCACGUGUAGCAGGUGAAAUGCGUAGAGAUGUGAAGGAAUACCGAUGGCGAAGGCAGCCCCCUGGGCCAAUACUGACGCUCAUGCACGAAAAGCGUGGGGAGC